GGAGAGAUGGCAGAGUGGUCUAUUGCAACGGUCUUGAAAACCGUCGUACCGAGAGGUACCGGGGGUUCGAAUCCCUCUCUCUCCG
Molecule: transfer RNA, 85 nt
Filed under: Tannerella sp.
Lineage: Bacteria; Pseudomonadati; Bacteroidota; Bacteroidia; Bacteroidales; Tannerellaceae
Description: tRNA-Ser
Rfam family: tRNA
About the family: Transfer RNA (tRNA) molecules are approximately 80 nucleotides in length. Their secondary structure includes four short double-helical elements and three loops (D, anti-codon, and T loops). Further hydrogen bonds mediate the characteristic L-shaped molecular structure. tRNAs have two regions of fundamental functional importance: the anti-codon, which is responsible for specific mRNA codon recognition, and the 3' end, to which the tRNAs corresponding amino acid is attached (by aminoacyl-tRNA synthetases). tRNAs cope with the degeneracy of the genetic code in two manners: having more than one tRNA (with a specific anti-codon) for a particular amino acid; and 'wobble' base-pairing, i.e. permitting non-standard base-pairing at the 3rd anti-codon position.
Source: RNAcentral